AUUGAACGCUGGCGGCAGGCUUAACACAUGCAAGUCGAGUGAGCGGCGGACGGGUGAGUAAUGUCUGGGAAACUGCCUGAUGGAGGGGGAUAACUACUGGAAACGGUAGCUAAUACCGCAUACCAUCAGAUGUGCCCAGAUGGGAUUAGCUAGUAGGUGGGGUAAUGGCUCACCUAGGCGACGAUCCCUAGCUGGUCUGAGAGGAUGACCAGCCACCCUGGAAUUGAGAAAAGGUCCAGAGUCCUACGGGAGGCAGCAGUUGGGAAUAUUGCACAAUGGGCGAAAGCCUGAUGGAGGCACGCCGCGUGGGUGAAGAAGGUCUUCGGGUUGUAAAGCACUGUUAGCGAGGAGGCGUUACUCGCAGAAGAAGCACCGGCUAACUCCGUGCCAGCCGCCGCGGUAAUAC
Molecule: ribosomal RNA, 406 nt
Filed under: uncultured bacterium
Lineage: Bacteria
Description: partial 16S ribosomal RNA
Rfam family: Bacterial small subunit ribosomal RNA
Source: RNAcentral